This 4568-nucleotide long non-coding RNA is filed under the name Capsicum annuum. RNAcentral describes it as "long non-coding RNA (CANN_LNC019507)". The record is from RNAcentral. Lineage: Eukaryota; Viridiplantae; Streptophyta; Magnoliopsida; Solanales; Solanaceae.
UCGGUUUUUCUUUAUUUUUUUAGUAGUGUUUGGCCAAUUGGCCUAUAUAUAAAAUCUAUUAUUAAAAAACACAAAACCUAAUGAGAGAGAAAAUCUCCCUCUAACCAAAACUCUUAAAAGACUACAUUGUAGAUGCUACUGUGUUAUAACUUGAGAAGAGAGAUCUUCUAUUUAUAGAGUUACAAAACCCCUAGAAAAAGAAUAAACCUAAUAGAAAUCUAAUAGACCUAAUAGAAAUCUAAUAGAAAAGAUAUUUUCCAACAAGGAAACUUCUUUCUAUCAAAAAAGGUAAUUCUAAUUAUGUUAGAAAAUAUAAUAAAGUAGGAAAUUCAGGGCAAUCUCAAUAAAUCUCCCCUUGGCCUGAAUUUUCUGGCAAAUUAAUCUUGAUCUUCUUCUUUACAUAAUCUUCAUAUAUCAACAAUCUUCAUAUAUCACUGUUGCUUACUAUGAUUAAAAAUUGACAUGGGUUAAAAUUGAAGCCCUAUGCAUUAAAAAUAAAAGCACGGGUUGAUAAGAUUGAAAGUAGAGCCUUGUGCAUUGAAAGUGAGCACAUGUUAAAAGUGGAGCUCAUGCGUUAAAAAUAAAAGCACGGGUUGAUAAGAUUGAAAGUAGAGCCUUGUGCAUUGAAAGUGAGCACAUGUUAAAAGUGGAGCUCAUGCGUUAAAAAUAAAAGCACGGGUUGAUAAGAUUGAAAGUAGAGCCUUGUGCAUUGAAAGUGAGCACAUGUUAAAAGUGGAGCUCAUGCGUUAAAAAUAAAAGCACGGGUUGAUAAGAUUGAAAGUAGAGCCUUGUGCAUUGAAAGUGAGCACAUGUUAAAAGUGGAGCUCAUGCGUUAAAAAUAAAAGCACGGGUUGAUAAGAUUGAAAGUAGAGCCUUGUGCAUUGAAAGUGAGCACAUGUUAAAAGUGGAGCUCAUGCGUUAAAAAUAAAAGCACGGGUUGAUAAGAUUGAAAGUAGAGCCUUGUGCAUUGAAAGUGAGCACAUGUUAAAAGUGGAGCUCAUGCGUUAAAAAUAAAAGCACGGGUUGAUAAGAUUGAAAGUAGAGCCUUGUGCAUUGAAAGUGAGCACAUGUUAAAAGUGGAGCUCAUGCGUUAAAAAUAAAAGCACGGGUUGAUAAGAUUGAAAGUAGAGCCUUGUGCAUUGAAAGUGAGCACAUGUUAAAAGUGGAGCUCAUGCGUUAAAAAUAAAAGCACGGGUUGAUAAGAUUGAAAGUAGAGCCUUGUGCAUUGAAAGUGAGCACAUGUUAAAAGUGGAGCUCAUGCGUUAAAAAUAAAAGCACGGGUUGAUAAGAUUGAAAGUAGAGCCUUGUGCAUUGAAAGUGAGCACAUGUUAAAAGUGGAGCUCAUGCGUUAAAAAUAAAAGCACGGGUUGAUAAGAUUGAAAGUAGAGCCUUGUGCAUUGAAAGUGAGCACAUGUUAAAAGUGGAGCUCAUGCGUUAAAAAUAAAAGCACGGGUUGAUAAGAUUGAAAGUAGAGCCUUGUGCAUUGAAAGUGAGCACAUGUUAAAAGUGGAGCUCAUGCGUUAAAAAUAAAAGCACGGGUUGAUAAGAUUGAAAGUAGAGCCUUGUGCAUUGAAAGUGAGCACAUGUUAAAAGUGGAGCUCAUGCGUUAAAAAUAAAAGCACGGGUUGAUAAGAUUGAAAGUAGAGCCUUGUGCAUUGAAAGUGAGCACAUGUUAAAAGUGGAGCUCAUGCGUUAAAAAUAAAAGCACGGGUUGAUAAGAUUGAAAGUAGAGCCUUGUGCAUUGAAAGUGAGCACAUGUUAAAAGUGGAGCUCAUGCGUUAAAAAUAAAAGCACGGGUUGAUAAGAUUGAAAGUAGAGCCUUGUGCAUUGAAAGUGAGCACAUGUUAAAAGUGGAGCUCAUGCGUUAAAAAUAAAAGCACGGGUUGAUAAGAUUGAAAGUAGAGCCUUGUGCAUUGAAAGUGAGCACAUGUUAAAAGUGGAGCUCAUGCGUUAAAAAUAAAAGCACGGGUUGAUAAGAUUGAAAGUAGAGCCUUGUGCAUUGAAAGUGAGCACAUGUUAAAAGUGGAGCUCAUGCGUUAAAAAUAAAAGCACGGGUUGAUAAGAUUGAAAGUAGAGCCUUGUGCAUUGAAAGUGAGCACAUGUUAAAAGUGGAGCUCAUGCGUUAAAAAUAAAAGCACGGGUUGAUAAGAUUGAAAGUAGAGCCUUGUGCAUUGAAAGUGAGCACAUGUUAAAAGUGGAGCUCAUGCGUUAAAAAUAAAAGCACGGGUUGAUAAGAUUGAAAGUAGAGCCUUGUGCAUUGAAAGUGAGCACAUGUUAAAAGUGGAGCUCAUGCGUUAAAAAUAAAAGCACGGGUUGAUAAGAUUGAAAGUAGAGCCUUGUGCAUUGAAAGUGAGCACAUGUUAAAAGUGGAGCUCAUGCGUUAAAAAUAAAAGCACGGGUUGAUAAGAUUGAAAGUAGAGCCUUGUGCAUUGAAAGUGAGCACAUGUUAAAAGUGGAGCUCAUGCGUUAAAAAUAAAAGCACGGGUUGAUAAGAUUGAAAGUAGAGCCUUGUGCAUUGAAAGUGAGCACAUGUUAAAAGUGGAGCUCAUGCGUUAAAAAUAAAAGCACGGGUUGAUAAGAUUGAAAGUAGAGCCUUGUGCAUUGAAAGUGAGCACAUGUUAAAAGUGGAGCUCAUGCGUUAAAAAUAAAAGCACGGGUUGAUAAGAUUGAAAGUAGAGCCUUGUGCAUUGAAAGUGAGCACAUGUUAAAAGUGGAGCUCAUGCGUUAAAAAUAAAAGCACGGGUUGAUAAGAUUGAAAGUAGAGCCUUGUGCAUUGAAAGUGAGCACAUGUUAAAAGUGGAGCUCAUGCGUUAAAAAUAAAAGCACGGGUUGAUAAGAUUGAAAGUAGAGCCUUGUGCAUUGAAAGUGAGCACAUGUUAAAAGUGGAGCUCAUGCGUUAAAAAUAAAAGCACGGGUUGAUAAGAUUGAAAGUAGAGCCUUGUGCAUUGAAAGUGAGCACAUGUUAAAAGUGGAGCUCAUGCGUUAAAAAUAAAAGCACGGGUUGAUAAGAUUGAAAGUAGAGCCUUGUGCAUUGAAAGUGAGCACAUGUUAAAAGUGGAGCUCAUGCGUUAAAAAUAAAAGCACGGGUUGAUAAGAUUGAAAGUAGAGCCUUGUGCAUUGAAAGUGAGCACAUGUUAAAAGUGGAGCUCAUGCGUUAAAAAUAAAAGCACGGGUUGAUAAGAUUGAAAGUAGAGCCUUGUGCAUUGAAAGUGAGCACAUGUUAAAAGUGGAGCUCAUGCGUUAAAAAUAAAAGCACGGGUUGAUAAGAUUGAAAGUAGAGCCUUGUGCAUUGAAAGUGAGCACAUGUUAAAAGUGGAGCUCAUGCGUUAAAAAUAAAAGCACGGGUUGAUAAGAUUGAAAGUAGAGCCUUGUGCAUUGAAAGUGAGCACAUGUUAAAAGUGGAGCUCAUGCGUUAAAAAUAAAAGCACGGGUUGAUAAGAUUGAAAGUAGAGCCUUGUGCAUUGAAAGUGAGCACAUGUUAAAAGUGGAGCUCAUGCGUUAAAAAUAAAAGCACGGGUUGAUAAGAUUGAAAGUAGAGCCUUGUGCAUUGAAAGUGAGCACAUGUUAAAAGUGGAGCUCAUGCGUUAAAAAUAAAAGCACGGGUUGAUAAGAUUGAAAGUAGAGCCUUGUGCAUUGAAAGUGAGCACAUGUUAAAAGUGGAGCUCAUGCGUUAAAAAUAAAAGCACGGGUUGAUAAGAUUGAAAGUAGAGCCUUGUGCAUUGAAAGUGAGCACAUGUUAAAAGUGGAGCUCAUGCGUUAAAAAUAAAAGCACGGGUUGAUAAGAUUGAAAGUAGAGCCUUGUGCAUUGAAAGUGAGCACAUGUUAAAAGUGGAGCUCAUGCGUUAAAAAUAAAAGCACGGGUUGAUAAGAUUGAAAGUAGAGCCUUGUGCAUUGAAAGUGAGCACAUGUUAAAAGUGGAGCUCAUGCGUUAAAAAUAAAAGCACGGGUUGAUAAGAUUGAAAGUAGAGCCUUGUGCAUUGAAAGUGAGCACAUGUUAAAAGUGGAGCUCAUGCGUUAAAAAUAAAAGCACGGGUUGAUAAGAUUGAAAGUAGAGCCUUGUGCAUUGAAAGUGAGCACAUGUUAAAAGUGGAGCUCAUGCGUUAAAAAUAAAUGCACGAGUUGAAAGGAGUCAAAGCGUUGAAAGUUGGAGCCUAUAAACAUGGAUUGAAAAUUAAAUUGGUUUUAAAGAUGGAGCAACGGGAUUGUUGAAAAUAUGGUUGAAAAUUCUUCUCCACGUAUAUUUUUUUUUGAACAAAAAUCUUCAUCACUGUCUAGUUGGUUGCAACUUUGAUUUUGACAUGUCCUCAAUUUGAACCAUCGAACCAUUGAAUCAUAAACUCUGAUACCACUUGUUGAGUUUGAAAUCAAGAGGCCGUCAUGCACAAGCUAAUUGUUGCAAACCAUUGUGGUGAUAAUUUAGAAGACACAUAAAACAAUACUAAAAACAUAAUAUUAUUAUAUGAUUUGGCCAAUUGACCUACAUAUAAAAUCUAUUAUUAAAAAAAUACAAAAACUAAUGAGAGAGAAAAUCUUCCCUGAACCAAAACUCUUAAAGGACUACAUUUUGG